RNAcentral lists this long non-coding RNA (497 nucleotides) under Mustela putorius furo (domestic ferret). RNAcentral describes it as "lncRNA (ENSMPUG00000025732.1)". Lineage: Eukaryota; Metazoa; Chordata; Mammalia; Carnivora; Mustelidae. The record is from RNAcentral.
GAAUAAGGUGAUGUCUUGAGCAAGACAAGAUGUUUAAAACGAGGCUCUGGAUGAAAGUGGACUUUUCUAAAUUCCUUUUAUGAAUGAGAGACCCAACCAAGAGCUCCUCCUGGACAGGAGAGAGAAUGCUGCUCAACACUGGAGAGCUAGAUCUUGAGACUGUGCCCAAAGAUAAGGAAAGUGAAGCUAGCGAAAGCAUGUGAGUGGCCCAAGUCGAUCCAGGAUGUGACAAUCCAGGUGUCUCUGACUGAAGAGCCCACACCUUUAGCCUCUGCGCUAUAAAGUUGCUUUAAGUCAAUCUAGAGUUCAGUUGACUUGCCUGCCCAGAGUGUCUUCUUCCCUGAAUUCCUUCCUCCUCCAUGCUGCCACUCCUCCCCUUAAACCAUGCAGAAGGGGCUCCUCAUUGCUGGUCUGUAGGAUGAAGUCCAAAGUCGCCAUGGCACACACUUAGGACAGGAGCUGCUGAAUGGAACACGGGAUGAACACUUGUACAGGGA